AGGCUUUUGAAACUGCUCAACCUACCUAGUGGCUCAUCCAUCACUGAUGAAAAUGUGUUAAGUGCCAGACUGCCCCUCUGCACUUCUCAUCAGCAUCUUAAGUAUAAACUAGGGUGCUCUAUUCGCUCUCUCAUUUUUUCAAAAAGAUUUCUGUGCUUUCAAAGAGAAAAUAGCAGUGGUCAUGCUUGGAGAAGGGAAGUUACUUUGAUGCCACAGAUCAAUAAGAGGCAUUGUUCGGCUAAGUAUGACAGAUAAACGUGGAGAAAAAAAAAUGCCGUUUCCCAAUCUUAAAAGAAAUCACCAUCACGAGGCAUCCUCAGGUAAGCAUCAGAAAAGGUAGCUUUUGAGCCUGGAGCUUUAGGAUGUUUGCAGGAAUCUUUUCAGGUUAAUAUGAGUCAAGUGUAAUG
Molecule: long non-coding RNA, 407 nt
Filed under: Capra hircus (goat)
Lineage: Eukaryota; Metazoa; Chordata; Mammalia; Artiodactyla; Bovidae
Description: lncRNA (ENSCHIG00000001373.1)
Source: RNAcentral